This 511-nucleotide ribosomal RNA is filed under the name uncultured eukaryote. RNAcentral's name for it is "bacterial SSU rRNA". It matches the Rfam family "Eukaryotic small subunit ribosomal RNA", at positions 729 to 1164 of the family's 1831-position model. The record is from RNAcentral.
GGACGGGGCCGCCCCGCGAGGGACGGCGCCGCCCCGGGGCUCGUGAUAUCUUAUCUCGCCGCCCGUCGCGAGGCGGACGGAGGGAUGGAUGAGGUUACCUGGAAAAAUCGGGGCGAUCUAGGCGGGCGAACCUCGCCAACGAACGAUCGGACAUGGGAUAACGGAAGAGGGCGUCGGCUCGACUUCGUCGGUUCCUCGGGCCGAGGCACGUACGGUGAAUAGGGACGGUCGGGGCCGCCCGUACCGGGUCGUGAGAGGUGAAAUUCUAGGAUCGACCCGAGACGAACUGCCGCGAAAGCAUUCGGCAAGGACGCUUUCAUUAAUCAAGAACGAAAGUCGGGGGAUCGAAGACGAUCAGAUACCGUCGUAGUCCCGACCGUAAACGAUGCCGACCGAGGGCCCGGAGGAGUUACGUACGACCCUCCGGGCCCUCCCGCGAGAAAUCAGGAGUAUUCGGGUUCCGGGGGGAGUAUGGUCGCAAGGCCGAAACUUAAAGGAAUUGACGGAAGGG